Molecule: ribosomal RNA, 460 nt
Filed under: uncultured bacterium
Lineage: Bacteria
Description: partial 16S ribosomal RNA
Rfam family: Bacterial small subunit ribosomal RNA
Source: RNAcentral
CCUACGGUGAGCUGCAGUGAGGAAUAUUGGUCAAUGGACGAAAGUCUGAACCAGCCAUGCCGCGUGCAGGAAGACGGCUCUAUGAGUUGUAAACUGCUUUUGUACAAGGGUAAACCUGAAUACGUGUAUUCAGCUGAAAGUACUGUACGAAUAAGGAUUGGCUAACACCGUGCCCGCAGCCGCGGUAAUACGGAGGAUCCAAGCGUUAUCCGGAUUUAUUGGGUUUAAAGGGUGCGUAGGCGGAUUGAUAAGUUAGAGGUGAAAUGUCCGGGCUCAACUCGGGAACUGCCUCUAAUACUGUUGAUCUAGAGAGGAAAUGCGGUAGGCGGAAUGUAUGGUGUAGCGGUGAAAUGCUUAGAGAUCAUACAGAACACCGAUUGCGAAGGCAGCUUACCAAUCUAUAUCUGACGUUGAGGCACGAAAGCGUGGGGAGCAAACAGGAUUAGAUACCCGAGUAGUC